GAGUUUGAUCAUGGCUCAGGAUGAACGCUAGCGGCACGCUUCAUACAUGCAAGUCGAGGGGCAGCAUAAAGUACUUGUACUUUGAUGGCGACCGGCGAACGGGUGCGUAACGCGUAUGCAACUUACCUUUUACUAGAGAAUAGCCAAGAGAAAUUUUGAUUAAUGCUCUAUACUCUUAUUAACUCACAUGAGUUUUUAAGAAAAGCUCCGGCGGUAAAAGAUGGGCAUGCGUCCUAUUGGCUUGUAGGUGAGGUAACGGCUCACCUAAGCUCCGAUAGGUAGGGGUCCUGAGAGGGAGAUCCCCCACACUGGUACUGAGACACGGACCAGACUUCUACGGAAGGCAGCAGUAAGGAAUAUUGGACAAUGGAGGCAACUCUGAUCCAGCGAUGCCGCGUGAAGGAAGACGGCCCUAUGGGUUGUAAACUUCUUUUAUACAGGAAGAAACCUUUCCACGUGUGGAAAGCUGACGGUACUGUAAGAAUAAGGAUCGGCUAACUCCGUGCCAGCAGCCGCGGUAAUACGGAGGAUCCAAGCGUUAUCCGGAAUUAUUGGGUUUAAAGGGUCCGCAGGCUGUUUGUUAAGUCAGGGGUGAAAUCCUACCGCUCAACGGUAGAACUGCCUUUGAUACUGGCAAACUUGAGUUAUUGUGAAGUAGUUAGAAUGUGUAGUGUAGCGGUGAAAUGCAUAGAUAUUACACAGAAUACCGAUUGCGAAAGCAGAUUACUAACAAUAUACUGACGCUGAGGGACGAAAGCGUGGGUAGCGAACAGGAUUAGAUACCCUGGUAGUCCACGCCGUAAACGAUGGUCACUAGCUGUUUGAUGUACAUUGGUACAUUGAGUGGCUAAGCGAAAGUGAUAAGUGACCCACCUGGGGAGUACGCUCGCAAGAGUGAAACUCAAAGGAAUUGACGGGGGCCCGCACAAGCGGUGGAGCAUGUGGUUUAAUUCGAUGAUACGCGAGGAACCUUACCAGGACUUAAAUGUAAGUUGCAUGAUUCAGAAAUGGAUCUUUCUUCGGACUACUUACAAGGUGCUGCAUGGUUGUCGUCAGCUCGUGCCGUGAGGUGUCAGGUUAAGUCCUAUAAUGAGCGCAACCCCUAUCGUUAGUUGCCAUCAAGUAAAGUUGGGAACUCUAGCGAAACUGCCGGUGCAAACCGUGAGGAAGGUGGGGAUGACGUCAAAUCAUCACGGCCCUUACGUUCUGGGCUACACACGUGCUACAAUGGCCGGUACAGAAAGCAGCCACUAUGCGAAUAGGAGCUAAUCUUCAAAGCCGGUCUCAGUUCGGAUCGCAGUCUGCAACUCGACUGCGUGAAGCUGGAAUCGCUAGUAAUCGGAUAUCAGCCAUGAUCCGGUGAAUACGUUCCCGGGCCUUGUACACACCGCCCGUCAAGCCAUGGAAGCUGGGGGUACCUAAAGUCGGUGACCGAAAGGAGCCGCCUAGGGUAAAACUGGUAACUGGGGCUAAGUCGUAACAAGGUAACC
RNAcentral lists this ribosomal RNA (1490 nucleotides) under uncultured bacterium. RNAcentral's name for it is "bacterial SSU rRNA". It matches the Rfam family "Bacterial small subunit ribosomal RNA". The record is from RNAcentral.